This 253-nucleotide ribosomal RNA is filed under the name uncultured bacterium. RNAcentral describes it as "partial 16S ribosomal RNA". It matches the Rfam family "Bacterial small subunit ribosomal RNA", at positions 524 to 776 of the family's 1533-position model. The record is from RNAcentral.
UACGAAGGGGGCUAGCGUUACUCGGAUUGACUGGGCGUAAAGGGCGCGUAGGCGGCUUGUACAGUCAGACGUGAAAUUCCUGGGCUCAACCUGGGGGCUGCGUUUGAUACGUAUGGGCUUGAGUUCGGAAGAGGGUCGUGGAAUUCCCAGUGUAGAGGUGAAAUUCGUAGAUAUUGGGAAGAACACCGGUGGCGAAGGCGGCGACCUGGUCCGAUACUGACGCUGAGACGCGAAAGCGUGGGGAGCAAACAGG